This 497-nucleotide ribosomal RNA is filed under the name uncultured bacterium. RNAcentral's name for it is "partial 16S ribosomal RNA". It matches the Rfam family "Bacterial small subunit ribosomal RNA", at positions 28 to 507 of the family's 1533-position model. The record is from RNAcentral.
GACGAACGCUGGCGGCGUGCCUAAUACAUGCAAGUAGAACGCUGAAGAGAGGAGCUUGCUCUUCUUGGAUGAGUUGCGAACGGGUGAGUAACGCGUAGGUAACCUGCCUUGUAGCGGGGGAUAACUAUUGGAAACGAUAGCUAAUACCGCAUAACAAUGGAUGACACAUGUCAUUUAUUUGAAAGGGGCAAUUGCUCCACUACAAGAUGGACCUGCGUUGUAUUAGCUAGUAGGUGAGGUAAUGGCUCACCUAGGCGACGAUACAUAGCCGACCUGAGAGGGGGAUUGGCCACAAUUGGACUGAGACACGGCCCAGACCCCUGCGGGAGGCAGCCAUAGGGAAUAUUCGGCAAUGGGGGCAAGCCUGAACGAACAAAGACGCGAGAGGGAAGAAAGUUUUCGGAUCGUAAAGGUCUGUUGUAAGUCAAGAACGGGUGUGAGAGUGGAAAGUUCACACUGUGACGGUAGCUGAACAGAAAGGGACGGCUAACUACGUG